Hippocampus comes (tiger tail seahorse) is the source of this 942-nucleotide long non-coding RNA. RefSeq lists it as uncharacterized. The record is from RefSeq and is a predicted model, not a curated record. NCBI's taxonomy places the organism in Eukaryota, Metazoa, Chordata, Actinopteri, Syngnathiformes, Syngnathidae. The transcript has 4 exons.
AACAUAUACGUAAAAGCGAUCGUUAUCACUGACAGAUAGUAGCACAAUGGUAUAUGACUGGGAGUCCCGACUGGUGAACUCAGGUUCGAGCCCGGGUCUUCACUUACUCUUUUAAAUAUUUUUUCCUUCCCGGAAGUGACGUCAUCACCGGAAACCUAUUUAAGCGGCGACAAAUAGGCAAUCAUUCUUUCUCACCUUCGACAGCCUCCGCUCGUCCACACACUGCUCCUGCUCCGCACGCCUGUCCACAAGAUCACGCAGAACUCCAACAAGGAAAGCUACGUUCGACCAGAGGGCUUUGCAUCUUCUACAGAAUGGCCAAAUUGACUGCAACAAGGCUCACCUCGACAGAAUGACCCUUAAAAUGGCUGCCAUCCUGUGGCGUUUUGGGCCCUGGCUUCACAAGACUCGAGCAGAUCUUUUACAUGUCUUCCAAAUAUCUGUGUGCUAAGACACGCUUGGAAGGUUGAAUAUUUAAAAGUCAAGAGCUAACGUUACCGUGUCUUUCAGGCCACCGUGCUGUCGAAGAAGCGUCCAGCUCUGCUCUCUUCACAAGUAAAGCAAACAUUUUCCCACAGGUGCACAUGUGAGAGUACUCUUAAUUAAAUCAGCAGGUGAUUGACUAAAGAUUGAGCACAGGUGUCAAAUCCAGAAAUUUGAAAAGUUUGGUUUAACCACAGGACCUCCAACUCAACCAGCUCCUCUGGUUGAGUAGGCGCACCUGUGGCUAAAAUCAAACGGUGGUGGUGCUCUUUUCUGGCUCUCUCACACACUGAGACAAAUGAUCAGAUUCGCUGUCUGGCUUCCGCCGACCUUGCUGAUGAUCUGAUCAUUUGAAUCAGGUGUUGCACCAGGGGGAAAUGGGGGAGGGGAAAAGGGCGGGAGAGUGGCCCCAACACAUUUCCUCAACAAGUGCGUUUGUCCUGCUCUCAUCCACCAGGU